This is a long non-coding RNA of Hemicordylus capensis (graceful crag lizard), 3398 nucleotides long. RefSeq lists it as uncharacterized. NCBI's taxonomy places the organism in Eukaryota, Metazoa, Chordata, Lepidosauria, Squamata, Cordylidae. The transcript is spliced from 4 exons. The record is from RefSeq and is a predicted model, not a curated record.
UCUGGGCUCCUUGGAGGAGGAGUGGGAUAUAAAUGUAAUAAUAAUAAUAAUAAUAAUAAUAAUAAUAAUAAUAAUAAUACCUGUCUGACUGUGUAAAUCCAUCAUCAUCAUCAUCAUCAUCAUCAUCAUCAUCAUCAUCAUCAUCAUCAUCCCAGUGGUAACUGGCGUCCUAGGUGCAAUUCCAAAACAACUUGAAGAGCACCUCAACACCAUAAGGGCCACAGAAAUCACCACCAGCCAAUUACAAAAAGCAACUUUUCUGGGAACAGCCUAUAUUCUGCGACAAUAUCAAUAACAACAGCAACAACACUGACAAUAAAAUUCAGCCAUCCCAGGUCCUUGGGAUUCAGCCAGGACAUUGGAACAAAACUGAUCCUUCUCUGCACAGAUAUCUAACUCUGUGUCAUCUCCAUCCAGAGAUGGUGUGAACACUGCUGAGAACUCCAGGGGAAAAAGAAGAAGAAAAGCAACGUGGAGAUGAUUCAUUUGAGUGGAUAAACAGUGGAAUGAGAAAGGAAGGACCCCCUCCCACCUAUCUUUCUUCUGCAGCGCUUUUCAGUUAACAAAAAAAAUGUCCUUGAUUUCUUCCCUGCAUCUCUGCUGGUGCUCAGGAUGCUGUGCCAUGCAAAAUAAGGACCAGGAGAUCCCACUGGCCGUUGUAUCAUGACCCUCAAACAUGAAAGUGUCCACCUCGGCACGGAGGUCUUCAUCAGACAACCCAACUCCAUUUUCAUCCUGAUAAGGUAUAUGAAGGGGGAAAGGGGAGAAGCAAAUAACGUGGUGAGUAUUUUUUUAAAACAAAAUGUAUUUUUUAAAAAAGAGUUGCUUCCCUGUAACUGAUUAUCUUCAAGUGGUCCUUUGCACAUACCCACUACUGGAAAACUGCCUGCACAAACCAACACCCAGAACUUCCAGAGCAUCUUGAGACACAUUAACAUUGCCCGACAUACUAGGCAGAAUUGCUAAAGAAGGAUGCCUGGAAUCUUGCCGACAGCAAGUGUAUGUUGACCUAAAUUCAGCAAGGUAAGAAACUUUAACCACAAAGUUUUCUUUUCACCUUUAAUGGGAUAGAUAGGUGGAUCAUGUGUAUCUACAUAGGGGUAAGCAAGCUGUUUGUUUGUUUGUUUGUUUGUUUAUUAAACUUCUAUACUGCCCAAACUUUCAUCUCUAGGGCGGUUAACAUAAAAACAAUUAAAACACAUAUAAAAGUUAAUCAAUGCAACAAUUAAAAAACAGCCAUAAAAUUAAAAACACAAACAGACAGUUUUUAAAAGCUGAGAAAGCCUGGUUGAAGAGAUGUGUUUUCAAAAGUUUUUUGAAAAUUGCCAGAGAUGGGGAGGAUCAUAUCUCAGCAGGGAGCACAUUCCACAAUCUUGGGGCAGCAGCCGAGAAGGCCCGUCUCUGUGUAGCCACCAAAUGAGUUGGUGGUAGCUGGAGACGGACCUCCUCAGAUGACCUCAAUGAACGGUGUGGCUCAUAGUGAAGAAAAUGCUCUCUUAAAUACCCAGGGCCUAAGCUGUUUAGGGCUUUAUAAGUUAUAACUAGCAUUUUGUGUUUUGCCCAGAAACUAUUGGCAGCCAAUGAAGCUACAUCAGUAAAGGAGGAAUGUGGUCUCUCUGAGAUGACCCAGAGACCAGCCUGGCUGCCUCAUUCUGAACCAACUGGAGCUUCUGGACUACGUACAAAGGCAGCCCCACGUACAGCGCAUUACAAAAGUCAAGUCUGGAGGUUACCAACAAAUGUACCACUGUUUUAAGGUCAUUGAUCUCAAGAAACAGGUGCAGCUGGCGUAUCAGCUGAAGCUGACAGAAAGCACCCCUGGCUUUAUAUGCUUUGUGGUCCAAAGCAUAUAUGUUUAUAUGCUUUGUGGUCCUCUGUGCAUCCACACAGGGGACUGAGGGAUCAGCUAGCUAACUUAUCUGGAGGUAGAUAAAGUCAUAGUAGAAUAUGCUGUAGGACAGUUCUUCCACAUAAUGCAUCUUUCCUUGAUGGGACAUCCAAGGCAUAAUGCUUGAUGAACAGGGAUACUAUGGACCAAGUUGCAGUGCUACAUACAUCAGGGAUUGAAGUGCCUGAAUAUUUGCGGCUGAAGUCCCCCCUGCCCUUGAAAAAUGUGUUCUUAUGCACAAUAGAGAGGACUGCUUAGCAAGUUGUGUUCUACUGAUGUAGUUGACAUGCACCUACUGACAUCCAGUGUAUGGAGGGACCUUUCCAGAUCAGAAACUGGAUUCAGAAAAAUUGUAUGCAGAAUGAUGUCCUUGCACUACUUCAAUAUAAGUGCCCCAGGCUGCAAAUUGUUUUUAAAGAGCCAUAUAUCCCCCCCCCGACUUUUGUGAUUCCCCCCAAAAGCUUUGAGGCUAGCUAUGGGCCUGGAGGUAAGUUAGGCUGAGAGAUAAGUGGCUGGCCCAGAGUCACCCAGUGAGUAAAUGGAGUUGAAUGGGGAUUCAUGGCUGAAUGGGGAUUUGAACUUGGGUCUUCCUGGUCCUAUUCCACCACUCUAACCACUAUGCCAUGCUGGCUCUCUUUUUGCAUUCCUUGCCAUUGCAAGCCAAUCAGAAGCCAGUGACAGAAAACAAUCAGCAAAGGGGAAACAGGCCUCCAGAAUGGCAGUAUAACGCUGAAAGAUUUCAAUCAAAAUGGAGUUGUUUUGUUCUGAGCUUGAAAUAGGCUUGAAAUAGGCCUUUUUGAGCUUGAAACACUGUUUUGAGCUUGAAACACUCGAAACAGCCAAUUUCAAGUUGAAACAUUUCAACAUCAAAACGUUUUGCACAUCCCUAGUUUUUACAUUAUAAUAUCAAGUGUUAUUCAAUACAAUUCUGGCCAAUAUUUUCUGCAUUGUUUUCUGAUUGGUGUUUUUCUUCUAUUUUGUUUCAAAACUUGUAUUUUAAAAACAUCUUAAGAUGUUCCAUAUGUGGAAAAUGCUGAGAGGGAAGAAGAGUUAUCUGACUGAUAAGAAUGGUUUUUCAAUGAGUAAAUGACUAAAAUGAAUGGCUUUAAAAGGGGCUUAGACAAAUUCAUGGAGGACAAGUCUAUCAAUGGCUACUAGUCUGAUGGCUAUAGGCUACCUCCAGCCUCAGAGGCAAGAUGCCUCUAAAUACCAAUUGCAGGGGAGCAACAGCAAGCGAGAGGGUAUGCCUUCACAUCUUGCUUGUGGGCUUCUCAGAGGCAUCUGGUGAGCCACUGUGGGAAACAGGAUGUUGGACUAGAUAGGCCUUGAACCUGAUCCAGCGAGGCUGUUAUUGAGGCAGGUCUCAUGAUCAAAGAGACCCACCUGGGGAGGGUGAGCGGGGAGAGCGGGCUUAGCUUGCUCUCUCCACAGACAACCAGCCAGUCUGCUCUGGGCAGCCGCAGCGGCCACCCACACAACUGUCGGCUCCGUCACAGAGCCAGCCGGGGCU